This 468-nucleotide ribosomal RNA is filed under the name uncultured bacterium. RNAcentral's name for it is "partial 16S ribosomal RNA". It matches the Rfam family "Bacterial small subunit ribosomal RNA", at positions 28 to 507 of the family's 1533-position model. The record is from RNAcentral.
GACGAACGCUGGCGGCGUGCUUAACACAUGCAAGUCGAACGGAAAGGCCCUGCUUUUGUGGGGUGCUCGAGUGGCGAACGGGUGAGUAACACGUGAGUAACCUGCCCUUGACUUUGGGAUAACUUCAGGAAACUGGGGCUAAUACCGGAUAGGAGCUCCUGCUGCAUGGUGGGGGUUGGAACGUCUCGGCGGUUGGGGAUGGACUCGCGGCUUAUCAGCUUGUUGGUGGGGUAGUGGCUUACCAAGGCUUUGACGGGUAGCCGGCCUGAGAGGGUGACCGGCCACAUUGGGACUGAGAUACGGCCCAGACUCCUACGGGAGGCAACAGUGGGGAGUAUUGCACAAUGGGCGGAAGCCUGAUGCAGCAACGCCGCGUGCGGGAUGACGGCCUUCGGGUUGUGAACCGCUUUCGCCUGUGACGAAGCGUGAGUGACGGUAAUGGGUAAAGAAGCACCGGCUAACUACGUG